RNAcentral lists this ribosomal RNA (468 nucleotides) under uncultured bacterium. RNAcentral's name for it is "partial 16S ribosomal RNA". It matches the Rfam family "Bacterial small subunit ribosomal RNA", at positions 28 to 507 of the family's 1533-position model. The record is from RNAcentral.
GACGAACGCUGGCGGCGUGCUUAACACAUGCAAGUCGAACGGAAAGGCCCUGCUUUUGUGGGGUUCUCGAGUGGCGAACGGGUGAGUAACACGUGAGUAACCUGCCCUUGACUUUGGGAUAACUUCAGGAAACUGGGGCUAAUACCGGAUAGGAGCUCCUGCUGCAUGGUGGGGGUUGGAAAGUUUCGGCGGUGGGGGAUGGACUCGCGGCUUAUGAGCUUGUGGGUGGGGUAGUGGCUUACCAAGGCUUUGACGGGUAGCCGGCCUGGGAGGGUGAACGGCCACAUUGGGACUGAGAUACGGCCCAGAGUCCUACGGGAGGCAGCAGUGGGGAAUAUUGCACAAUGGGCGGAAGCCUGAUGCAGCAACGCCGCGUGCGGGAUGACGGCCUUCGGGUUGUAAACCGCUUUCGCCUGUGACGAAGCGUGAGUGACGGUAAUGGGUAAAGAAGCACCGGCUAACUACGUG